Molecule: long non-coding RNA, 378 nt
Filed under: Elaeis guineensis (African oil palm)
Lineage: Eukaryota; Viridiplantae; Streptophyta; Magnoliopsida; Arecales; Arecaceae
Description: long non-coding RNA (EGUI_LNC007244)
Source: RNAcentral
CAGUGGGUUGCACUUUGGCAAAAUCGAUAGGAUUAUAUUGUAGAUGAUCCAGUAGCCGACGGUAUGAUGGACUAUUAUAAUGACUACAUGGAGUGGUAUCGUCGCAUUAUGCGUCGAUUCAUUUGUCGUAGUGGAGCGAUGAUUGACUAUCUAGUAAGAUUUCAUAUUUUACUUUUUAUUUUCUAUAAUUAACAUAAGUUUAUUUGCCUCUUGCUCAUCUUUUGUUUGUGUCAGAGUAACAGUCUGACGAGGAUUCAUCGUUUGGCUCGUCUAGACUUAUUAUCCACAUUCGAACAACUCAUCCAAGAAUUUAUACUUCAGGUCUCCACACCGUCCGACAGCAUGCUCAUAUCUCCAUCGAUAUCUACGAUCAUUGCC